Molecule: ribosomal RNA, 119 nt
Filed under: Triticum aestivum (bread wheat)
Lineage: Eukaryota; Viridiplantae; Streptophyta; Magnoliopsida; Poales; Poaceae
Source: RNAcentral
GUAUGCGAUCAUACCAGCACUAAAGCACCGGAUACCAUCAGAACUCCGAAGUUAAGCGUGCUUGGGCGAGAGUAGUACUAGGAUGGGUGACCUCCUGGGAAGUCCUCGUGUUGCAUUCC